UGGGGAAUAUUGGACAAUGGGCGAAAGCCUGAUCCAGCCAUGCCGCGUGUGUGAAGAAGGUCUUCGGAUUGUAAAGCACUCUAAGUUGGGAGGAAGGGCAGUAAGCGAAUACCUUGCUGUUUUGACGUUACCGACAGAAUAAGCACCGGCUAACUCUGUUCCAGCAGUCGCGGUAAUACAGAGGGUGCAAGCGUUAAUCGGAAUUACUGGGCGUAAAGCGCGCGUAGGUGGUUCGUUAAGUUGAAUGUGAAAGCCCCGGGCUCAACCUGGGAACAGCAACGAAAACUGGCGAGCUAGAGUAGGGCAGAGGGUGGUGGAAUUGCCUGUGUAGCGGUGAAGUGCGUAGAUGUAGGAAGGAACAACAGUGGCGUAGGCGACCACCUGGGCUCAUACUGACACUGAGGUGCGAAAGCGUGGGGAGCAAACAGG
This 429-nucleotide ribosomal RNA is filed under the name Pseudomonadota bacterium. RNAcentral's name for it is "Proteobacteria bacterium partial 16S ribosomal RNA". It matches the Rfam family "Bacterial small subunit ribosomal RNA", at positions 355 to 776 of the family's 1533-position model. Lineage: Bacteria; Pseudomonadati; Pseudomonadota. The record is from RNAcentral.